UUGUGCUAGCUAAACAGCUGACCCCUAUUCUUUCUCCUGCUUUUUAUCCUCUUUCCCAGAUUGAACACACUGGCAUUACUUUGUUGUAGAAAGAGAAGACUAAAAGCCUUUUGAACUACAUGCUGACAGGAGUGAGCUGACAACACAGUGAACUAGAUCUGCUGCCAGGGGUGCCAGAUGAGCAAGAAAACCCACAAAAUUCAAGGCCUCAGAAGCUGAAUGGGCCACUCAUCAAGGAGGAGCUGGAAAAAGCCUUGAGGGAGUCCAGAAAUUGAAGCUCUCAUCCUGGCUCCUUCAUUCAGUAGCUCUAUGACCACAGGCAAAUCACUUAGCCACUGAAGUUCAGUUUCGUCAUUGGUAAAAUGUAAGAAAAAGGUUUAUCUUCACUUAGAGCUUGGAGUUAUCAUUCAUUAAUAAACAUAUCCCCACAUUCCCACCAGAGGUGAGGAAGAAUUGGGCUGUUUACAACCUAAAGAUAGGGAUACCAUAUCAUUACAAACAAGGCUGAAUGUGAAAAAGAUGUCUGGAACUUGGCAGCCAUAGUGGACCAUGAGGUGAUGUGCUAAGAAUGGUGGAGCAGCAAGAUAGAAGGAGUUGGGUCCCUGACUCCUGGAACCACCAUCCCAACCCUGGGUUAUCUUCUGUUGGACCUCUUUGCCAUAAGAGAGAAAUGAUUUAUAUCUUCUUUAGGCUACUGUUAUUUUAGUUUUCUUGUCACACGUAAACUUAGCCCUAACUGAUAAAAUAAUCAUCUAUUCAAGACCCUGUGCUAAAUGCUGCACCUGCUGUAAAGAUAUAAAGGUUUUAGAUACACAAAGAAUUGAGCAGGAAGGCUCUGUCUUGAAGGAAAUGCUAAGAAAGGUUUGGCCUGGUAGGGCUAUGUGGAUAUGAAGAGGAUUUUAUGAGAUGAGACCAGGGAAUAUUAUGGAAGGAGCUUAAAUGCCAGGCUAAUGACAUUGGACUUGACCCAGUGAUGGGCAAACAGAGCAAGUAAGCUUGCCUCCAAUUUGCGAAUGAAGAAACCCAGGCCUUAUCAGAUUACAGGACUUGUUCAAGGACACCCAGCUGGUAAGCUGCAGAGCCAGAGCCAAUCUCAAUUCUACUGACAUUUGCACCAGUGCCAUCCCAUAGUUCUGGUGUCCUUGACGGAAUCUGGGGGAAAAGAGUAGGAAUGGAGAUUUUGCACUUUGGCAUGGCCAGGGAACUAGACUGUGCCCCUCUUCAUACCCCCACACCGUUAAGAGGAAGCUUUGGAGGGUUGCUAGAAGUUUAGGAUCAGACCUACCUGGAAGUCAGAGGACCUUCUCGGCUUCCUGCUUAACCACCCACAUGAGGCUACAGUGGCCAAGGUGCUGCGUUGCUAUGUGGUAAGUUCUCAUGUGGCAGGCACAGUGCUGGGCACUCUGU
This is a long non-coding RNA of Lutra lutra (Eurasian river otter), 1407 nucleotides long. RefSeq lists it as uncharacterized. The record is from RefSeq and is a predicted model, not a curated record. The transcript is spliced from 3 exons. Lineage: Eukaryota; Metazoa; Chordata; Mammalia; Carnivora; Mustelidae.